UGGAAAACAAAGAUGAGACAGACCUUCUAACAAGUCGACCUGUCUGGGAGAAGACAUCUCACAGGAUGAAGCUCUUCCUUCAAGGCCUGUGGAAGACUGGAGCAUGAUUCCCUUCACAAGGGAUCUCCAGCAAAGGACGAGAAGGAAAAACCUCUGCUGCUUGGUCGUGGCUUUGGACUUGGAAUCUAAAGGAAGGUUGUUGCUCCCCUGCUUUGUGAACCGGUGGAGUCCAGGCAUGGCAUUGGAGCGGGAACAUUUCCUGGAACAUGACGAACUGGAGCAAAAUUCCCUAAAGAGGUGAGGGAGAUGGUGUUUGGGAGACAAGCCAGUGACUGGAAGAGAAGUUCAGACAUGAGGGAAGACUAGGGGGCUGGCCCACUGAACUCCGGGAGGUGAUCUGAGUGAAGGAUCUAGGAUUUCUUAACCUGGAGCCUGGAAGUCGGAGGGAUAAUUUAAUGCCUUCAAAUUCAAGAUUUGGGGGCCAACUGUUUGCCAUCUCAAUUGAAGACAAAGCGGAGAAAAUGGCAGCCUUGACCUGGCUCAGAAGGAACUGAGGCUUAUUGUGAGGAAGAAUUGUCUAAGAGAGAAUAUUUUUAAUGUGGUUGGGUACUGAGGAGAUGAAAAUGGAGAACUGAUAAACUGUCAAAGCUCCAGGGCUGGUCUGGUGAGGUGAAGUCCAAUUCGAGACCCCCGGAACCGAGAAACCCACCCAAACGGGUGACUUCUGAGAACAUUGCCUCCCACAAGGGGAAGAUUGGCUGUUUUCAGUGAAAAUGACUGUGGUAUUUAUUAAGUGCUUAUUAUGUGCCAACGACUGUUUAAAUUCUGGGAUAGA
Long non-coding RNA from Ornithorhynchus anatinus (platypus), 835 nucleotides. RefSeq lists it as uncharacterized. Lineage: Eukaryota; Metazoa; Chordata; Mammalia; Monotremata; Ornithorhynchidae. The transcript has 4 exons. The record is from RefSeq and is a predicted model, not a curated record.